AUUGAACGCUGGCGGAAUGCUUUACACAUGCAAGUCGAGCGGCAGCGCGGGGCAACCUGGCGGCGAGCGGCGAACGGGUGAGUAAUGCAUCGGAACACGUCCAGUCGUGGGGAUAGCCCGCCGAAAGGCGGAUUAAUACCGCAUACGCCCGGGAGGGGAAAGCGGGGGACCUGCAAGGGCCUCGCGCGAUUGGGUUGGCCGAUGGCCGAUUAGCUAGUUGGUGGGGUAAAGGCCCACCAAGGCGAUGAUCGGUAGCUGGUCUGAGAGGAUGAUCAGCCACACUGGGACUGAGACACGGCCCAGACUCCUACGGGAGGCAGCAGUGGGGAAUAUUGGACAAUGGGGGCAACCCUGAUCCAGCAAUGCCAUGUGUGCGAUGAAGGCCUUCGGGUUGUAAAGCACUUUAGUGAGGGAGCAAGGCAGUAUUGAUAAUACCAAUAUUGUUUGAGAGUACCUCAAGAAUAAGCACCGGCAAACUCUGUGCCAGCCGCCGCGGUAA
Molecule: ribosomal RNA, 499 nt
Filed under: uncultured bacterium
Lineage: Bacteria
Description: partial 16S ribosomal RNA
Rfam family: Bacterial small subunit ribosomal RNA
Source: RNAcentral